This is a long non-coding RNA of Thalassophryne amazonica, 324 nucleotides long. RefSeq lists it as uncharacterized. The record is from RefSeq and is a predicted model, not a curated record. NCBI's taxonomy places the organism in Eukaryota, Metazoa, Chordata, Actinopteri, Batrachoidiformes, Batrachoididae. The transcript is spliced from 3 exons.
AAAGAAAUUAGCUUUUUUCUUUUCUGUGACCAGUUCUCCUUUGCCUGCAGAGGAUAGAGCGGUUUCUUCUAGAACCAGCUCUCCUCUGUUUACGGAGGAUAGGACUGCGCAUCUACUAGAAAACAUUUAACAGGUCAGCAGGUCGUUUGGGGGUGGAGCUACACAGAGCCAUCUGGAAGUCCUUGAGGCUGACUCUGCCAUCCAGAGCAUUUAGCGGCUGCAGUCCGAGGUGAUCGCACACGGCCUCCAGCAGACCUCCUCUUUCACUGAUGCUGGGUUCCCCAUGCUCCUCCUUCACCCUGUGGCUCUCUGCUGUCACCUGCU